GUCUUCUUGUAGUGCAAUGGAUUGCGCGUUGGACUGAUUAUCCAAAGGUCGUGGAUUCGAAUCCCAUCUAGGAUA
RNAcentral lists this transfer RNA (75 nucleotides) under Trichonephila inaurata madagascariensis. RNAcentral describes it as "tRNA-Ile". It matches the Rfam family "tRNA". Rfam says of the family: Transfer RNA (tRNA) molecules are approximately 80 nucleotides in length. Their secondary structure includes four short double-helical elements and three loops (D, anti-codon, and T loops). The record is from RNAcentral. Lineage: Eukaryota; Metazoa; Arthropoda; Arachnida; Araneae; Nephilidae.